GGAUUAGAUACCCUGGUAGUCCACGCUGUAAACGAUGAGAACUAGACGUCGGGCGGAUAACCGUUCGGUGUCGGAGCUAACGUAUUAAGUUCUCCGCCUGGGGAGUACGGCCGCAAGGCUGAAACUCAAAGGAAUUGACGGGGGCCCGCACAAGCGGUGGAGCAUGUGGUUUAAUUCGAUGCAACGCGAAGAACCUUACCUGCCCUUGACAUCCUGGGAAAGCUCUAGAGAUAGAGCCGUGCCUUCGGGAACCCAGUGACAGGUGCUGCAUGGCUGUCGUCAGCUCGUGCCG
Molecule: ribosomal RNA, 292 nt
Filed under: uncultured bacterium
Lineage: Bacteria
Description: partial 16S ribosomal RNA
Rfam family: Bacterial small subunit ribosomal RNA
Source: RNAcentral